UAGAACGACGGUGUAGGGUUAACUG
This 25-nucleotide non-coding RNA is filed under the name Cricetulus griseus (Chinese hamster). The record is from RNAcentral. Lineage: Eukaryota; Metazoa; Chordata; Mammalia; Rodentia; Cricetidae.